Molecule: long non-coding RNA, 709 nt
Filed under: Lupinus angustifolius (narrow-leaved blue lupine)
Lineage: Eukaryota; Viridiplantae; Streptophyta; Magnoliopsida; Fabales; Fabaceae
Description: long non-coding RNA (LANG_LNC000645)
Source: RNAcentral
UGCGAAGAGAAUUAGCAUAAGAAGAGAUAAUAAGACAUUCUGAAUAAAAAAAAUCAACUAAACUAGGAGUUAUGGAACAAUGUGGAUAAAUUCUUAAGAUACAAAAUGUAGAGAAAUUGAGAAAAUGAAAAAAUAAGCAGAAAAAUACAUAAUAGAAAGAGCUAGGACUCUUCUCAUUAUGUGUUAGUAGUAAUCAUCGAAUAAACUAGCCGAUCUUUGUUCGUUUUAAACAAUCAUUUUGAUCCUGGUUUUGGAAAGUUUCAAAACCAUGAUGUUCAUAAUUACUCAUAAUAAUAAGUUUAACUAGUAGUAAUUUAGUGUUGGUAAGAACGAAGAACCGCUCCACAGAAAGUGCAAACAACGGCUUUCCACGAUGUCCAGUAGAAUGGCACAUAACAAAACCUGGUGGCCGUUUUCACAUCCGCCACGCUAGCUCCACCGCCGCACCGCGAACAUAACCCUGCCGCCGGCUUGCUCCGUCGCACUUCCUUCCUUUGGUCUACCAAAAAACAGAAGCACACCAUCCUGCUGACGUGUCACUACGCUACCCUACUGCUUGAUCCGGCGUCGUUUAGGAAAAGUGUCGUUUUAUUUGCUUAGAAGAGUUUGAGAAAUGAAAUGUUUGAAUGGAGUAAUGUGAUAAAUAGAAGUUCGGUGAGGCUUGUAUAUUAUAGGGAGAAGCGUGUAGGUUAAAGUUCGAACUUCUUUG